AAUUUGUAUAAGAAAUUCUAACUACGUACAUGCAUUUCUUUCCAAAUCAUUACCAAUGUAAGACUGAGGAUUCUUUUUAAUUUCGGAGAAAGCAAACCAGGUAAAUACGAAUUGAGUAUUCAUGGUACUGAGCCACAAUUCGGGUAGUUUCAGGUAUCAAGAAAGCAGGGCAACCCAACUAUUUCAGGCAGUUUCAGUCUCAGGCAUCAAUGUCUUUGAUCCAAAGUCCUGUGGUUGACCAGUCCGUCUACUUCCCUUAAACGGAGACACAGAGGCAGCUAACUUCUUUUCGCCCAGCCAUUGAAGAACUACUAUACAGUAAGCACGGAAAAAAUGUGCACAUAGGAUAUUUGGCAGAUAAGAAUAAACCAAUCAUCUCAAAGGACUGAGAAGAAAUUGCAGAAAUAAAAAAGAUGCAUGCCUUGAUAGAGAAAUACCAACUUUAUGGAGAGCUAUACCUAGGAUUACCCGUCUUUGCAACAGGUCAGGGAGACCCAGCAGAAAUUAUUGUUGAAGGAAUCUCAGGCUUUCAUAUUGACCCCUAAAAUGGUGAAGAAUCGAGCCUCCCUAAUAAUAUUAGUGGUAGUUUAGGAACUGGGAUGUAUUUUUCUUGGCUUCAUCUCAUCUGAAAUCAACAUUAUUGCUUCACAUUGAUAUGCAUAAUGCAUAUUUCUCUUAAUGUCUCUGUAUUUUGUGUUGUUUUCUACAUAAUUUCAACGACAUCUAACAUCAGCCUCCCUCGUAUGGUAACCUUUUUGUAUGUUGUGCCUUUUAGCUUUUUUUUAGAGU
Juglans microcarpa x Juglans regia is the source of this 789-nucleotide long non-coding RNA. RefSeq lists it as uncharacterized. NCBI's taxonomy places the organism in Eukaryota, Viridiplantae, Streptophyta, Magnoliopsida, Fagales, Juglandaceae. The transcript is spliced from 3 exons. The record is from RefSeq and is a predicted model, not a curated record.